GACGAACGCUGGCGGCAUGCCUAAUACAUGCAAGUCGAACGCUUUAAUUUCACCGGGUGCUUGCACCCCAUCGGAGUUAAGGAGUGGCGGACGGGUGAGUAACACGUGGGUAACCUGCCCAUAAGAGGGGGAUAACAUUCGGAAACGGAUGCUAAUACCGCAUAUUUCUAAUCGUCUCCUGACGAAUGGAAGAAAGGUGGCUUCGGCUACCGCUUAUGGAUGGACCCGCGGCGUAUUAGCUAGUUGGUGAGGUAAUGGCUCACCAAGGCGAUGAUACGUAGCCGACCUGAGAGGGUGAUCGGCCACACUGGGACUGAGACACGGCCAG
RNAcentral lists this ribosomal RNA (328 nucleotides) under uncultured bacterium. RNAcentral's name for it is "bacterial SSU rRNA". It matches the Rfam family "Bacterial small subunit ribosomal RNA", at positions 28 to 334 of the family's 1533-position model. The record is from RNAcentral.